CCCCUCAAAUGCUAUAUGCUAUCUAACUCUCCUCUUUUAUUGAACUAAAGAAGGUCAUCUUUAAUAUCUUUUGCAUCCAAGAUUAAGCAUGUACUACUAAAAGCUUUUAAAUCAUCAUUACUUCAACACAUGUGAAAAUUUCUACUCAUCUUAGACAUCUUUAAAAAAAAAAAAAGAAAGAAGGAAAUAUAGAUGCUUGGAAACUUAGGAUUAGGAUAUCAUGGAUAUCUGCAGACUCAGACUGGACCUAGACAUGAUAUGCAG
This 264-nucleotide long non-coding RNA is filed under the name Elaeis guineensis (African oil palm). RNAcentral describes it as "long non-coding RNA (EGUI_LNC017879)". Lineage: Eukaryota; Viridiplantae; Streptophyta; Magnoliopsida; Arecales; Arecaceae. The record is from RNAcentral.